CUUGCUCUUAUGAAGUUAGCGGCGGACGGGUGAGUAACACGUGGGUAACCUGCCCAUAAGACUGGGAUAACUCCGGGAAACCGGGGCUAAUACCGGAUAACAUUUUGAACCGCAUGGUUCGAAAUUGAAAGGCGGCUUCGGCUGUCACUUAUGGAUGGACCCGCGUCGCAUUAGCUAGUUGGUGAGGUAACGGCUCACCAAGGCAACGAUGCGUAGCCGACCUGAGAGGGUGAUCGGCCACACUGGGACUGAGACACGGCCCAGACUCCUACGGGAGGCAGCAGUAGGGAAUCUUCCGCAAUGGACGAAAGUCUGACGGAGCAACGCCGCGUGAGUGAUGAAGGCUUUCGGGUCGUAAAACUCUGUUGUUAGGGAAGAACAAGUGCUAGUUGAAUAAGCUGGCACCUUGACGGGACCUAACCAGAAAGCCACGGCUAACUACGUGCCAGCAGCCGCGGUAAUACCUAGGUGGGAAGCGUUAUCCGGAAUUAUUGGGCCUAAAGCU
Molecule: ribosomal RNA, 505 nt
Filed under: Bacillus paramycoides
Lineage: Bacteria; Bacillati; Bacillota; Bacilli; Caryophanales; Bacillaceae
Description: bacterial SSU rRNA
Rfam family: Bacterial small subunit ribosomal RNA
Source: RNAcentral